GACGAACGCUGGCGGCGUGCUUAACACAUGCAAGUCGAACGGAAAGGCCCUGCUUUUGUGGGGUGCUCGAGUGGCGAACGGGGGAGUAACACGUGAGUAACCUGCCCUUGACUGUGGGAUAACUUCAGGAAACUGGGGCUAAUACCGGAUAGGAGCUCCUGCUGCAUGGGGGGGGUUGGAAAGUUUCGGCGGUUGGGGAUGGACUCGCGGCUUAUCAGCUUGUUGGUGGGGUAGUGGCUUACCAAGGCUUUGACGGGUAGCCGGCCUGAGAGGGUGACCGGCCACAUUGGGACUGCGAUACGGCCCAGACUCCUACGGGAGGCAGCAGUGGGGAAUAUUGCACAAUGGGCCGAAGCCUGAUGCAGCAACGCCGCGUGCGGGAUGACGGCCUUCGGGUUGUAAACCGAUUUCGCCUGUGACGAAGCGUGAGUGACGGUAAUGGGUAAAGAAGCACCGGCUAACUACGUG
Molecule: ribosomal RNA, 468 nt
Filed under: uncultured bacterium
Lineage: Bacteria
Description: partial 16S ribosomal RNA
Rfam family: Bacterial small subunit ribosomal RNA
Source: RNAcentral